UACGGGGGGGGCAAGCGUUGUUCGGAAUUACUGGGCGUAAAGGGCGCGUAGGGGGCCUGCUAAGUCGGGUGUGAAAACUCUGGGCUUAACCCAGAGCCUGCAUUCGAUACUGACGGGCUAGAGUUCUGGAGGGGAAAGCGGAAUUCCUGGUGUAGCGGUGAAAUGCGUAGAUAUCAGGAGGAACACCGGUGGCGAAGGCGGCUUUCUGGACAGAAACUGACACUGAGGCGCGAAAGCUAGGGGAGCAAACAGG
This 253-nucleotide ribosomal RNA is filed under the name uncultured bacterium. Its description in RNAcentral is "partial 16S ribosomal RNA". It matches the Rfam family "Bacterial small subunit ribosomal RNA", at positions 524 to 776 of the family's 1533-position model. The record is from RNAcentral.